AGAACGAACGCUGGCGGCAUGCCUAACACAUGCAAGUCGAACGAGACCUUCGGGUCUAGUGGCGCACGGGUGCGUAACGCGUGGGAAUCUGCCCAAAGGUUCGGAAUAACUCAGGGAAACUUGAGCUAAUACCGGAUGAUGUCGCAAGACCAAAGAUUUAUCGCCUUUGGAUGAGCCCGCGUAGGAUUAGCUUGUUGGUGAGGUAAAGGCUCACCAAGGCGACGAUCCUUAGCUGGUCUGAGAGGAUGAUCAGCCACACUGGGACUGAGACACGGCCCAGACUCCUACGGGAGGCAGCAGUGGGGAAUAUUGGACAAUGGGCGAAAGCCUGAUCCAGCAAUGCCGCGUGAGUGAUGAAGGCCCUAGGGUUGUAAAGCUCUUUUACCUGGGAAGAUAAUGACUGUACCGGGAGAAUAAGCCCCGGCUAACUCCGCGCCAGCAGCCGC
Molecule: ribosomal RNA, 446 nt
Filed under: uncultured bacterium
Lineage: Bacteria
Description: SSU rRNA
Rfam family: Bacterial small subunit ribosomal RNA
Source: RNAcentral